RNAcentral lists this long non-coding RNA (936 nucleotides) under Solanum tuberosum (potato). RNAcentral describes it as "long non-coding RNA (STUB_LNC003031)". Lineage: Eukaryota; Viridiplantae; Streptophyta; Magnoliopsida; Solanales; Solanaceae. The record is from RNAcentral.
UUAGACGGAAAGAAGAAAGUUAGGAUCUUAUAAGCAUGAGUUCAAAAUCAAAUGUUGAGACGUCUUUGGAUUAAAAUCCAAGAAGGCCUAAAUCCAAACCAGACAACACCUUAAGGGGUCGUUUGGUGUGAGGGAUACUACCAAAUAGUCCCGGGAUUAAAUUAUAGUACCACUUAUUUUGUUGUUUGGUUGGCAAGUUCGGGAUAACUUAUCCCGGGAUUAAUAAUUAGUACCGGGAUAAGUUAUCCCUAACCUAGGGUGGUAUAGUAAUCCCGGGAUAACUUAUCCCGGGAUAAAAUAGGUAAAUGACAAAAAUGUCUCUUUCAACCAUUUUGUUAUAUCACUUUUUACAUUAAUGAAGGGCAUUUUUGUAAACAAAUAAAUUGUUCUUAAAAUUUAUUAUUUUGAAUACAACAAACCAAACACUCAAUAAAAAAUAAUCCCAACACAACUUAUCCCAUCAUAACUAAUCCCAACAUAACUUAUCCCAACAUAACUUAUCCCAUCAUAACUCAUUUUCAAACCAAACGACCCCUUAACAGUUAGACCAAAAUAAUUUUAAACUUGUUGAUGUUGUAUAAUAUUUUUGUAAACAAAUAAAUUGUUCUUAAAAUUUAUUAUUUUGAAUACAACAAACCAAACACUCAAUAAAAAAUAAUCCCAACACAACUUAUCCCAUCAUAACUAAUCCCAACAUAACUUAUCCCAACAUAACUUAUCCCAUCAUAACUCAUUUUCAAACCAAACGACCCCUAACAGUUAGACCAAAAUAAUUUUAAACUUGUUGAUGUUGUAUAAUUUUCGACGAAAGAGAUAUUCAGAUGAAUCUCCUUGCGCACCCAUAAUAAUUUUAAUAAAAGAUGGACUGAUCAUUCACGCUUCAUAGACAAAUGCAACAAACCAAACUGUUGAAAACUCUUCAGCAAAGCCUUGCUG